RNAcentral lists this ribosomal RNA (468 nucleotides) under uncultured bacterium. Its description in RNAcentral is "partial 16S ribosomal RNA". It matches the Rfam family "Bacterial small subunit ribosomal RNA", at positions 28 to 507 of the family's 1533-position model. The record is from RNAcentral.
GACGAACGCUGGCGGUGUGCUUAACACAUGCAAGUCGAACGGUAAGGCCCUUUCGGGGGUACACGAGUGGCGCACGGGUGAGUAACACGUGAGUAACCUGCCCUCAUCUCUGGGAUAACAGUCGGAAACGGUUGCUAAUACUGGAUAUGAGCUUGCAAGGCAUCUUGUGGGUUGGAAAGAUUUUUUUUGGUUGGGGAUGGACUCGCGGCCUAUCAGCUUGUUGGUGAGGUAGUGGCUCACCAAGGCUUCGACGGGUAGCCGGCCUGAGAGGGCGACCGGCCACAUUGGGACUGAGAUACGGCCCAAACUCCUACGGGAGGCAGCAGUGGGGAAUACUGCACAAUGGACGGAAGUCUGAUGCAGCAACGCCGCGUGCGGGAUGACGGCCUUCGGGUUGUAAACCGCUUUCAAUUGUGACGAAGCCUUUUUGUGACGGUAGCAGUAGAAGAAGCACCGGCUAACUACGUG